GAUCAUGGCUCAGGAUGAACGCUAGCUACAGGCUUAACACAUGCAAGUCGAGGGGCAGCAUGAUCGAAGCUUGCUUGAUGAUGGCGACCGGCGCACGGGUGAGUAACGCGUAUCCAACCUUCCUUUAGUAGAGGACUAGCCCGGCGAAAGUCGGAUUAAUACUCUAUGUUGUAUUUAGAAGACAUCUGAAGAAUACCAAAGGUUUACCGCUAAAGGAUGGGGAUGCGUCUGAUUAGGUUGUUGGCGGGGUAACGGCCCACCAAGCCGACGAUCAGUAGGGGUUCUGAGAGGAAGGCCCCCACAUUGGAACUGAGACACGGUCCAAACUCCUACGGGAGGCAGCAGUGAGGAAUAUUGGUCAAUGGACGAAAGUCUGAACCAGCCAAGUAGCCGUGCAGGAUGACGGCCCUAUGGGUUGUAAACUGCUUUUAUAUAGGGAUAAAGUCGGGGACGUGUUCCCGUUUGUAGGUACUAUAUGAAUAAGGACCGGCUAAUUCCGUGCCAGCAGCCGC
Molecule: ribosomal RNA, 512 nt
Filed under: uncultured bacterium
Lineage: Bacteria
Description: bacterial SSU rRNA
Rfam family: Bacterial small subunit ribosomal RNA
Source: RNAcentral